Non-coding RNA from Acanthosepion pharaonis, 107 nucleotides. The record is from the annotation of a GenBank genome assembly. Lineage: Eukaryota; Metazoa; Mollusca; Cephalopoda; Sepiida; Sepiidae.
CAAAUCCCGUUGAAUCACCGAUUCUCGUAUGAUCUCUGAAGUUAAGCAACGUCGAACAUUUUCAGUACCUAGAUGAGUGACCUAUUUGAAAUACCAGGUGCUGUAAG